This 677-nucleotide long non-coding RNA is filed under the name Vombatus ursinus (common wombat). RNAcentral's name for it is "lncRNA (ENSVURG00010022513.1)". The record is from RNAcentral. Lineage: Eukaryota; Metazoa; Chordata; Mammalia; Diprotodontia; Vombatidae.
GACAGAGAGAAGACAAGCGUUUUGUGGAGAAAACGGAAUUGCCUGCAGAACUCUGGAUUGGUGUGAAAUCCUGAACUUUAGUGAGCAGGAGAUGAGUCGGGUUCAUCUAACACCAACAAACAUGCGACAGCCGCAGGGCCUUUCACCCUGGCUAAAUACCAGAUGAAUUAAAGGCUGCCGCUGUGGGCAACUGUGAUGAAUGUCAACGGGGAUGUGCCCUGAUUGCUCUCACAGUGCUAUGAGUGAAGAAUGUCGGCUCCUUCUUUGUUAAGGCCAUCACAUCUCCGUUUCUGGUUUCAUCUGGAGAUGGCUGGGCCAGACGGGCCCAAACAAGAGCUUGGUUGCGAGGACUCAUGGAGCCCAGGGGCAGAUUGUUUUCAGUUCACCAAAGCCCUAGUAAUCAAGGGAAACAGUCUACUCAACGUGGAAGAAUUUGAUAACAGAUCAAUGAAAUCAUUGCAUCAUAAAACGGCAGCUAGGAGGGCCCUCAGGGGCUCUCUGGUGCCACCUCCUCAUUUUACAGAUAAUCAAGGUCUCAGAAGCUGUGACCUGCGUCAAGGCUGCACAAGGAGGGUGAAGGGUGUGAUCUGAACACAAGUUCUGGGACUCCACAGUACCACUUUCCUCCCUAACCACAGAUCUUUUGAUCUUUUGAAAUUUUGAAAUAAGUAUUGCAU